GAUCCUGGCUCAGGAUGAACGCUGGCGGCGUGCUUAACACAUGCAAGUCGAACGAAGCGCUUAAGAUUGAUUCUUCGGAUGAAGUCUUUUGCUACUGAGUGGCGGACGGGUGAGUAACGCGUGGGUAACCUGCCUCAUACAGGGGGAUAACAGUUAGUAAAUGACUGCUAAUACCGCAUAAGCGCACAGGGUCGCAUGACCUGGUGUGAAAAACUCCGGUGGUAUGAGAUGGACCCGCG
RNAcentral lists this ribosomal RNA (239 nucleotides) under uncultured bacterium. RNAcentral describes it as "partial 16S ribosomal RNA". It matches the Rfam family "Bacterial small subunit ribosomal RNA", at positions 15 to 235 of the family's 1533-position model. The record is from RNAcentral.